GGGGGGGUAGCUCAGUUGGUAGAGCGCGUCGUUCGCAAUGACGAGGUCGUGGGUUCGAUUCCCAUCCUCUCCACCA
RNAcentral lists this transfer RNA (76 nucleotides) under Pseudomonadota bacterium. RNAcentral's name for it is "tRNA-Ala". It matches the Rfam family "tRNA". Rfam says of the family: Transfer RNA (tRNA) molecules are approximately 80 nucleotides in length. Their secondary structure includes four short double-helical elements and three loops (D, anti-codon, and T loops). Further hydrogen bonds mediate the characteristic L-shaped molecular structure. tRNAs have two regions of fundamental functional importance: the anti-codon, which is responsible for specific mRNA codon recognition, and the 3' end, to which the tRNAs corresponding amino acid is attached (by aminoacyl-tRNA synthetases). tRNAs cope with the degeneracy of the genetic code in two manners: having more than one tRNA (with a specific anti-codon) for a particular amino acid; and 'wobble' base-pairing, i.e. permitting non-standard base-pairing at the 3rd anti-codon position. The record is from RNAcentral. Lineage: Bacteria; Pseudomonadati; Pseudomonadota. RNAcentral also lists the same sequence under 5 other names.